CCCUUAGAUGUUCUGGGCCGUACGCGUGCUACACUGAGUAAUUCAAUGGGUAAGGGAACGCUAGAGCAUUACCUAAUCUUGAAAUUUGCUCGUGAUGGGGAUCGACGGUUGCAAUUUUCCGUCGUGAACGAGGAAUACCUUGUAGGCGCAUGUCAUCAUCAUGCGCCGAAUACGUCCCUGCCCUUUGUACACACCGCCCGUCGCUCCUACCGAUUGAGUGAUCCGGUGAGGCUCUGGGACCUGGACGGAAAGAGCGUUUCGCUUGUUCUGUUUGGGAAACUUGGUCGAACCUUAUCAUUUAGAGGAAGGAGAAGUCGUAACA
Molecule: ribosomal RNA, 322 nt
Filed under: uncultured eukaryote
Lineage: Eukaryota
Description: partial 18S ribosomal RNA
Rfam family: Eukaryotic small subunit ribosomal RNA
Source: RNAcentral